AUCACGCGGUUUCACCCGCGUAGUUGUCAUUCCUGAGGGAGUAUGGGGACAAAAUGUAGUCUAUGUUUCUAGGUUUCUGUUGGCGGAAGAAUUUCUAGAAAGUUUAUUAGUUUUCUAUUUAUGUAGGUAUUUAAGUUAAGUAUGUUAAUAGUGUCUUCCUCCUUGCUUAUUAUUUUGUACUAUGUAUAUAUACAUUUAGGUAUUCUGAUUUUCUUUAAAUCUUCACUUUGUUCCAAAUCUGGUAUAACAGGUAUGCGAAUUUUCAAUUUUUGAAGGCGGUGCCAAUCCAGUGUCAUGUUUUAAUUAAAGCCGUUUCCGAAAGAACCACAAAAAUUUUGUAAUUUAAAACGGCUUAAAUUAAAACAUCACUGGCUUGGCUCCGCCUUCAAACUGAUCAGAAGGUAGCAUAUAGGCAAGUGCUAAAUCAUUGUAUCAUCAGCAUCAACAGCCGAAGGACGUCCACCGCUGGACAUGGGCCUCUUGCAUGGACUUCAUGUGUCUCAAACACAAGUGGCAGAACAGUUUAAAGUACAAACAAAAAGGUAUCCUAGUUAGAGUUCCACUUCAAAGUUCAAGCACAUACUAAGUUAACAUUUCAUGUGUGUGUGUGAAUAUAUAGAUACUUGCUUUUCGCUAUGUUUGUGUUUGGGAGCAUCUAAGGAGACCUCAAUAAUCAGCCAGGUUACAAAAGAUUUUCCAACUUCGGUAAUAGAUAGGUACUGAGUUAGUAGUUUAAUUUGAACUUUUAGGAUUUAAACAAAUCUCUUAUCAUGAUGCCACCACCUUUUCAUUGAACCACAAUCUUUUGACUAAACCAGUGGCAUAGCACAGGUUUUAGCCACCCCCCAAUUUUGAAUAUUACUUCGAAGUUUAUAUUUUAUUCAACUGAUCUAAUUUAUUACACCCACAUCACACAAAUCAUAUAAACUGCCUCAUAUCAUAUAAUCAUAUGAUAUACCUUUAGAACCUGACUUUCUUUUCAUGGUCACAAGGAAAGUUACAUACUAUCAUCGAGUCUCCUCUCAGAGUGAGAGAGGUUAGGCAUAGUCCACCACACUGGCCCAAUGCAAAUUGGCAGACUUCACACACAUACAAAAUUAAGAAACUUGCUCAGGUAUGUAGGUUUCCUCAAGUUUUCCUUCACUGUUUGAUACACAGGAUAUUUUUUUUUAUUAUUUUUUUUUUGUUCUGUUUUUCUCAUGCAAUCAGUCGGCAGACUAUGAGCAGAGCUGUUGUAGUAUACACACUGGAUAUUUAAUUUCUUAAAAUGCACACAACUGAAAAGUUGGAGGUGCAUGCUCCGGACUGGAUUCAAAUCUACACCUGAAGGCAAAGGUCAUAUCCACUUAGUUAUCACGUCUCCAAGCACAAAGUUACUGCAGGCAUUGAAGUGACAUAUUUUAUUUAAUGAUGUUUAUUUGAAUUCACAAAAUUGUGGCACUUACCAUUGGCUUCCUUGCCACCACGUUGUUACGCCACUAAACUAACCCAGUAAUAAAAUUCAGAUCAUUUUGUAGGCACAUAACAUAUCUAAUAGUAGAAAUCUUUGUCAGCCUAUUCAAACAGCUCACUACAGAACCUGUGCUCCGAUGUGUGUGUAGAGUGAUAAUGUUUUAUGAAUGAUCACUAUCAGUAGACAUUGAGCAGGUGAUGGCUUAAACUGCUCUACAGCCACUUCCCCGCUCUCCAAUAUAUGGACUCAAUAGCAAACCACACUCACGACAUGAAAAAAGAAAAAGAACUAGAAAGAGGGUAGAUCGAUUCUGCCAAUAACAGGUGAUGUCAACUUCGCAUCUCGCAGCUUCAGUCCUGGGUCUACUAACUGUAACUGUAACUGGG
Molecule: long non-coding RNA, 1839 nt
Organism: Bicyclus anynana (squinting bush brown)
Lineage: Eukaryota; Metazoa; Arthropoda; Insecta; Lepidoptera; Nymphalidae
Exons: 3
Source: RefSeq, a predicted model, not a curated record